RNAcentral lists this ribosomal RNA (533 nucleotides) under uncultured bacterium. RNAcentral's name for it is "bacterial SSU rRNA". It matches the Rfam family "Bacterial small subunit ribosomal RNA", at positions 340 to 865 of the family's 1533-position model. The record is from RNAcentral.
UACGGGAGGCAGCAGUGGGGAAUUUUGGACAAUGGGGGCAACCCUGAUCCAGCCAUGCCGCGUGAGUGAAGAAGGCCUUCGGGUUGUAAAGCUCUUUCAGGUGGAAAGAAAACGCAUGGGUCAAUACCCUGUGUGGAUGACGGUACCAUCAGAAGAAGCACCGGCUAACUACGUGCCAGCAGCCGCGGUAAUACGUAGGGUGCGAGCGUUAAUCGGAAUUACUGGGCGUAAAGCGUGCGCAGGCGGUGAUGUAAGACAGAUGUGAAAUCCCCGGGCUCAACCUGGGAACUGCGUUUGUGACUGCAUUACUCGAGUACGGCAGAGGGAGGUGGAAUUCCGCGUGUAGCAGUGAAAUGCGUAGAGAUGCGGAGGAACACCGAUGGCGAAGGCAGCCUCCUGGGCCAGUACUGACGCUCAUGCACGAAAGCGUGGGGAGCAAACAGGAUUAGAUACCCUGGUAGUCCACGCCCUAAACGAUGUCAACUAGUUGUUCGGUGAGGAGACUCAUUGAUAACGCAGCUAACGCGUGAAGU